UUGAUCAUGGCUCAGGAUGAACGCUAGCGGCAGGCCUAACACAUGCAAGUCGAGGGGUAACAUAAGGUGCUUGCACUUUGAUGACGACCGGCGCACGGGUGAGUAACGCGUAUACAAUCUGCCUCAUACUAGGGAAUAGCCCAGAGAAAUUUGGAUUAAUGCCCUAUAGUAUCAUUAAGAGUCAUCUCUUUUUGGUUAAAGGUUACGGUAUGAGAUGAGUAUGCGUUCUAUUAGUUAGUAGGUGAGGUAACGGCUCACCUAGACUGCGAUAGAUAGGGGCCCUGAGAGGGGGAUCCCCCACACUGGUACUGAGACACGGACCAGACUCCUACGGGAGGCAGCAGUGAGGAAUAUUAGACAAUGGGCGAAAGCCUGAUCUAGCCAUGCCGCGUGCAGGAUGACGGCCCUAUGGGUUGUAAACUGCUUUUAUACAGGAAGAAAAAACUCUACGUGUAGAGUCUUGACGGUACUGUAAGAAUAAGGAUCGGCUAACUCCGUGCCAGCAGCCGCGGUAAUACGGAGGAUCCAAGCGUUAUCCGGAAUUAUUGGGUUUAAAGGGUCCGUAGGUGGACAAUUAAGUCAGAGGUGAAAUCCUGCAGCUCAACUGUAGAAUUGCCUUUGAAACUGGUUGUCUUGAGUCAUUAUGAAGUGGUUAGAAUGUGUAGUGUAGCGGUGAAAUGCAUAGAUAUUACACAGAAUACCAAUUGCGAAGGCAGAUCACUAAUAAUGUACUGACACUGAUGGACGAAAGCGUGGGUAGCGAACAGGAUUAGAUACCCUGGUAGUCCACGCCGUAAACGAUGGUUACUAGCUGUUCGGACUUCGGUCUGAGUGGCUAAGCGAAAGUGAUAAGUAACCCACCUGGGGAGUACGUUCGCAAGAAUGAACUCAAAGGAAUUGACGGGGGCCCGC
Molecule: ribosomal RNA, 912 nt
Filed under: uncultured bacterium
Lineage: Bacteria
Description: bacterial SSU rRNA
Rfam family: Bacterial small subunit ribosomal RNA
Source: RNAcentral